Molecule: long non-coding RNA, 4166 nt
Filed under: Sus scrofa (pig)
Lineage: Eukaryota; Metazoa; Chordata; Mammalia; Artiodactyla; Suidae
Description: lncRNA (ENSSSCG00000061196.1)
Source: RNAcentral
UUUUUUUUUUUUUUAAGAUUCUUCUAUCCUUUGGAAAGAGACAAAGCACUAAGGCAGUAUUAGCUGUUUGUUGCAUAUACUCUGUAAAUUGGCCAUCAGCCAGGUUUCCUCAUAAAGAUGGGUAGUGUGCCUUUGUCCCACCUUGUGCCAAGAAUAGGAAAAUGAAUUAACUUGGACAUGCUUUGGAUGUUUUCAGCAUGAAAACUGAUAUCCAUAGGUUUAAAAUGAAUUUAUUCUCUAAAUAUUUGCACUCAAAAAGUUUAGAUGAAAAUACUCUGUGACGAUUCAAAGAUAGAACGUUGAGAAGUAACAAAAUUAGAAUCAUUUCAGAGAAUUUUAAAGAGACACAUUGAACAAAAUACCUGUGGGUGAAGUGGAUGCAGCUUUGGAUGCAACUGCUUGAAUCUACUUCUAAGAGAUUUUUCUAGCUUUUAAAGAAAAUUUUUAUGUUGAGAAGUUUGAGAUUUUUUUAUAUACUCACAUGAUAUAAUAUACUUUUUUCUUUCUUCCCUCAAAUAAGGUAGAAUAAACAUUAAGGAAAAAUUUGAAACCUGCAGUAUUACCUAAUUUACUAAUUGCAAAAUAUCUUAAUAUGUUUUGCCAUUUUGUGUAUUGAAUAAUAAAAAUAUAAUAGACCAGACAGUCAGGUUCUAUAUGAUUGUGAAGGAGUGGAAAUAUUUUUAUUUCUUCUUGGUUUGUAACUUGAAUUUAAAACUAAAAAAAAAAAAAAAAAGAGAGAGAAGGAAGGAAGUGGAGGGAAAGUGGAACAUUUUGAUAGAUUUUUCAAAUACUUUUAAAGAUUUUCUUUUUUGCUAGUUUAGAGAAACGGGCACAAUUUAUGUAGUAUUGUUCUUCUGUGAUUCUGAUUUUGCCUAUACAAAGACUGACCAUACCAAUUAUUGUUCAUUUGAUCUAGAAAGCUUUCUUUUCCAUAUGUGAAUGUUAUAUUGGUAUAGCUAAUAAUUCCCAGAAGAGACAUAAAGUGCCCUCAUAGAAAAUAAAAUUGAAGUACCUUAACACAUGCUUAGGCAGUCACAAAUGGAACAGUUUGCAAAAACCUUUUUAUAUUUCUAGUCAUUGAUAUUUAUUUAUGAGAGUAAUUUUCUAUUUACAAAUUGUCAUUAAUCCUGACAGCUUUAUGGUUUAUGUGCUCCCUUAGGCGUGAGAUAAUGGCUUUGGUUAACAAAUUGUUCUCUUCCUACAGUUUUCUAGAUUUGCCUCAGAAACUUGGCAUUCUACAAAGUCUUGAACUAAAGGAAAGGGUUUUCCUGAGAAGAGAACUUUCAACAGUCUAACCAAACCAUGACCAAACUGUGCAGGAUCAACCUCUCUUCAUAACUAGGUAAAUGGGAACCUCAGUGGUACAGCUUAAGAGUAAGAAGUUGUAAGCAGACUUAGUGAGGACUUUAUUGUCUGGGAGUUUGCAUUCUGAGGAGAAAUUAAUACAUCUCUUCAUUUCACUGGCCCUGGAGCCCUAAUCACUAGUGAACAUAGUAUACUCUAUGGAUUUACCAAUAUUUACCAAUAUUUCUCAGAAAAGGUUUGAUUAGCAAGAAAUACCCAUGAGUGCUGUUUAAACGUACUUACAGUUCUCUUAUGAAGUCAUUAGGCAAAGACUUGUUAUGCUCUGAUUAGCUUAUUAGUUCAUUCUGGAUCUGAUAGAGAGUUUUGGGGCAUUGUCUGUCAACUUGCUAGAAAUUAGGACAACAAAUGCCUUUGAAUUGUCUUUGCUCAUUUAACCAUGUCUCUGCAGAUGUUCACUAUUUUAAUAUGUCUUUUAUUUGAAAAGUGCAGUAUUUGUAUAAUCAAUUAGAAAUGUACACUUCUGAAUAAAUGCAGAAGUUUAUAAGUAGAUUAAAAUGCUAAAGAGACAUACUUUCACCUCAAAUGAUGUCAACGUGCAUAUCAACAUAUAUGAUUAAUUCUGAGUAUCAGAAGAUCAUUUCAGGCUCCCUAGUUAGUUCAUGCAGUGAUAAUAAAAAAUUACAUGGUAUAUAGUUUAUGAAGACAGCCCAUAAUGAUAGUGUACCUUGUACUUAGCUUAUUUACAAAUGAUCAUAAAUUACUUUUCUGUAAGAAUGAGAGAAUGAGAGAGCUGUUGCUUUAAAAAUCAAAUUAUUUUAAAUAAUUGUGUAAAAAUAUUAGUGGUGUUUCCAAGAAGCACAAUGAAAAACUCCUGUUUACUCUUGUUACUUUUUAGCAUGAAUGAGUUAGUGAGAUGGAAAUGCAGUGCAGUAAAAAGAAAUUAAAAUUUUGACAUAGAGGGCUGUAGCACUGGAUAGCUUCAAGGGGCGCCAUUCACAUAAUAGGUUCUGUGCAUGGCAUUCCCCCAAGUUGUGCAGUACACACACAGACAUACAGACACAAAGACACACACACACACACACACACACAUAGUGUGUACUGACCAUAUACAGUGGCCUUGUGUAGAGUAAUGUAGGAGGCCUGGUUAAAUAGUGUUGGGCAAAGUUCUUGGUUUUCUUUGAACCUUCAUUUCCUAGUCUAUAAAGUAGAGAUGAUUUUACUUAUGAGAUAUGGUUCUUUUGUCAAUUACAAAAGAAUUUACCUGUCAGGUAUCGUUCUUCUGUGAAGACAGGGUUUUACAAGGGUUCAUUCCCAUAACAGCACUUAACAUAGUACUGAACUCAUAUUAGGUACUUAAUAACUUAGCCCUGAGAGUAGGUAAAUAAAAUAAAAUCCAAGAAGUUGAUUAAAAGAGGGGGAAAAAUGUUAUUCACUAGGGCAUAAAACUUAAAGAAUGGAAAAAUGAAAUCAGUCUUACAAGGUGGCCUAUCUUUAUGUGGCACCUGAGGUCUGUUCCUUGUACUGAAUGCAGGCUUAAGAGAAUAGGUGACACAGAGUGGAUAUAUGCAUGUUAUCAGAAGCUUUGAAACCUUUGAAUAUUUCAAACUAGUCCUGCUUAUGUUUCAUGACAAACAGCAAAAUGGAAUCAGGGAGUUGGUGGUACUUUCCACUUCAGUUUUAAAAUUCUUUCCAAGUAAUUCAUUUUACUAUGUCUGUUCCAAGCCUUUUUUUCUAAGUGCUCUAGAGGAAACUUUUUAAUGGUUAGCAAUGCUGCUCUUGAGUGUAUGCAUACACACACACAAAUAUGUGCACACACACACAGCCUGCAGAUUUUGAAGACUUAAUUUAAAAAUGUUAAUUUCCGUCAUAUUCAUUUUAGACUUUGACAAGAAAAUACAAAGGAGACAUUGGAAAUUGUUUUCCAGAAAAAGAAAAGACAUUACAACAAAGAAAAAUAGAAGAAAGUUUGUAUAAUUCAGUAUAAUAAAAAUAAAGGUGUAAUGACAAUUACUGUAGCCAUCAAUCUUUAAUAAUUUGUGAAGAAUCCAGCCUCAGAUGCAAUGAAGCUUCAUAAGAUUUGUGAUUACAGAGUGUAAAAUAUAACAGAUGCUACAAUAUUUAGAUGCCUGCUGGCAUUUACCUUUUUCCCUGCACAGUUCAUUUCAACUAUAUGAAAAUUUUAUAUGCUAUAUAAAAGUAGAGAAAAAGAAAUUUAUUUGUAAAAUAACCACAGGAGAAUUGAUGGUGUUUCAGCAAUGUGGUAUUUGAUUCCCUUUGACCAUAUGAACUAUGUGAGAAAGUGGAGAAUUUGAUGAUACAGUAUUAUUUUCAGUUUUCAUAUGGUGGAAGAUGCACAGGUCAAAAAAUAACACUGGCAUUGAAUUCAAUUACUUUUUCUGUGGUAUACAGGGCUGACUUUUGAGGAUGGGAGCCCUACUGUUCACUGGAGACAUGGUUUCACUUUGAGGAUAGCAAUAGAGAGGUAGCGGCAUUGGUGACUCUGGAGAAAUGACCAGUGUUACGUUUCAGAGGCAGACACUUGCAGUGCAACAUCUCGUUUUAAAAACACAGUUUGGAGUUAUUAAAUAUUAGUUUUCUUUUUCUUUUUUUGUCUUUUUAGGGCCACACCUGCAGCAUACAGAGGUUCCCAGGCUAGGGGUCGAAUCAGAACUGUAGCCGCUAGCUUACACCACAGUCACAGCCACGCCAGAUCCAAGCCGCAUCUGUGACCUACACCAGAGCUUAUGGCAAUGCCAGAUCCUUAGCCUACUGAGCAAGGCCAGGGCUCUAACCUGCAUCCUCAAGGAUGCUAGUCAGAUUCGUUUUUUCCACUGUGCCACAACAGGAACUCCUAAAUAUUA